RNAcentral lists this transfer RNA (85 nucleotides) under Podoviridae sp. ctsNK10. Its description in RNAcentral is "tRNA-Ser". Lineage: Duplodnaviria; Heunggongvirae; Uroviricota; Caudoviricetes. The record is from RNAcentral.
GCGGCAUUAGCUCAGGUAGUUAGAGCACUCGGUUGGACACGUCGGAAACCGCGAGAGGUCGUUAGUGCAACUCUAACAUGCCGUA